Molecule: long non-coding RNA, 570 nt
Filed under: Mus spretus (western wild mouse)
Lineage: Eukaryota; Metazoa; Chordata; Mammalia; Rodentia; Muridae
Description: predicted gene 14246 (ENSMSPG00010036628.1)
Source: RNAcentral
GCAUAGGCACAGAUGUGCACUCACACAUCAAUUUCUAAUGAAGGAAGCAGUCUUCGGCUAAGGAUGGAUGGGGUCUCAUGAGCAAACAACCCACUCCAGUGUUGUGUGUCAUUGAGAGGCAACACAGAAUCUCACAAUGUCUUUAGCAAGAGUAUGUUCUAGUCACUCAAGGCAUUACCUUGCUGACUGCUGCACCAUUUAAUGACUGUUCUCUUUCUGGUCUCCUUUGAUGAGUCCUCUGUUCUGUCUUCAUCUCCAAGAUGACCAUUUGCCUUUAAACCCAUACUUCAAGGUCUUUGCCCCAAGGGAAUCCAGAGCCAGAUACUGCCCUGUGAGGGAGAAAGAUUUUUAUUGACUCCCUUAGUUUAGACCACCACUCCUGGGAGAACCACACAAUCACAGAGCGCUCUAGCUGCAUUCCCCUGGCUCUUGGAAACAGACGACAGGGCUAGGCCUCUUCUAAUCCAAGCAUCUUGACCAACAUCACAGAAGCAGAACGAAUAUUACAUGGUUCUCUGACCGUCCACCAUGUUUUAUUUCCAACUGAUCUCUCUCUGAAUUUCCUACUCC